RNAcentral lists this ribosomal RNA (451 nucleotides) under uncultured bacterium. RNAcentral describes it as "bacterial SSU rRNA". It matches the Rfam family "Bacterial small subunit ribosomal RNA", at positions 29 to 524 of the family's 1533-position model. The record is from RNAcentral.
AGCGAACGCUGGCGGCAGGCUUAACACAUGCAAGUCGAACGGAUCCUUCGGGAUUAGUGGCGGACGGGUGAGUAACACGUGGGAACGUGCCUUUUGGUUCGGAACAACACAGGGAAACUUGUGCUAAUACCGGAUGUGCCCUUCGGGGAAAGGAUUUAUCGCCAUUAGAGCGGCCCGCGUCUGAUUAGCUUGUUGGUGAGGUAAAGGCUCACCAAGGCUACGAUCAGUAGCUGGUCUGAGAGGAUGAUCAGCCACACUGGGACUGAGACACGGCCCAGACUCCUACGGGAGGCAGCAGUGGGGAAGUCUUGCGCAAUGGGGGAAACCCUGACGCAGCCAUGCCGCGUGAAUGAUGAAGGUCUUAGGAUUGUAAAAUUCUUUCAGCGGGGACGAUAAUGACGGUACCCGCAGAAGAAGCUCCGGCUAACUUCGUGCCAGCCGCCGCGGUAAU